RNAcentral lists this ribosomal RNA (1550 nucleotides) under Klebsiella planticola. Its description in RNAcentral is "bacterial SSU rRNA". It matches the Rfam family "Bacterial small subunit ribosomal RNA". The record is from RNAcentral. Lineage: Bacteria; Pseudomonadati; Pseudomonadota; Gammaproteobacteria; Enterobacterales; Enterobacteriaceae.
AAAUUGAAGAGUUUGAUCAUGGCUCAGAUUGAACGCUGGCGGCAGGCCUAACACAUGCAAGUCGAGCGGUAGCACAGAGAGCUUGCUCUCGGGUGACGAGCGGCGGACGGGUGAGUAAUGUCUGGGAAACUGCCUGAUGGAGGGGGAUAACUACUGGAAACGGUAGCUAAUACCGCAUAACGUCGCAAGACCAAAGUGGGGGACCUUCGGGCCUCAUGCCAUCAGAUGUGCCCAGAUGGGAUUAGCUAGUAGGUGGGGUAAUGGCUCACCUAGGCGACGAUCCCUAGCUGGUCUGAGAGGAUGACCAGCCACACUGGAACUGAGACACGGUCCAGACUCCUACGGGAGGCAGCAGUGGGGAAUAUUGCACAAUGGGCGCAAGCCUGAUGCAGCCAUGCCGCGUGUAUGAAGAAGGCCUUCGGGUUGUAAAGUACUUUCAGCGAGGAGGAAGGCGUUAAGGUUAAUAACCUUGGCGAUUGACGUUACUCGCAGAAGAAGCACCGGCUAACUCCGUGCCAGCAGCCGCGGUAAUACGGAGGGUGCAAGCGUUAAUCGGAAUUACUGGGCGUAAAGCGCACGCAGGCGGUUUGUUAAGUCAGAUGUGAAAUCCCCGGGCUCAACCUGGGAACUGCAUUUGAAACUGGCAAGCUUGAGUCUUGUAGAGGGGGGUAGAAUUCCAGGUGUAGCGGUGAAAUGCGUAGAGAUCUGGAGGAAUACCGGUGGCGAAGGCGGCCCCCUGGACAAAGACUGACGCUCAGGUGCGAAAGCGUGGGGAGCAAACAGGAUUAGAUACCCUGGUAGUCCACGCUGUAAACGAUGUCGACUUGGAGGUUGUUCCCUUGAGGAGUGGCUUCCGGAGCUAACGCGUUAAGUCGACCGCCUGGGGAGUACGGCCGCAAGGUUAAAACUCAAAUGAAUUGACGGGGGCCCGCACAAGCGGUGGAGCAUGUGGUUUAAUUCGAUGCAACGCGAAGAACCUUACCUACUCUUGACAUCCAGAGAACUUAGCAGAGAUGCUUUGGUGCCUUCGGGAACUCUGAGACAGGUGCUGCAUGGCUGUCGUCAGCUCGUGUUGUGAAAUGUUGGGUUAAGUCCCGCAACGAGCGCAACCCUUAUCCUUUGUUGCCAGCGGUCCGGCCGGGAACUCAAAGGAGACUGCCAGUGAUAAACUGGAGGAAGGUGGGGAUGACGUCAAGUCAUCAUGGCCCUUACGAGUAGGGCUACACACGUGCUACAAUGGCAUAUACAAAGAGAAGCGACCUCGCGAGAGCAAGCGGACCUCAUAAAGUAUGUCGUAGUCCGGAUUGGAGUCUGCAACUCGACUCCAUGAAGUCGGAAUCGCUAGUAAUCGUAGAUCAGAAUGCUACGGUGAAUACGUUCCCGGGCCUUGUACACACCGCCCGUCACACCAUGGGAGUGGGUUGCAAAAGAAGUAGGUAGCUUAACCUUCGGGAGGGCGCUUACCACUUUGUGAUUCAUGACUGGGGUGAAGUCGUAACAAGGUAACCGUAGGGGAACCUGCGGUUGGAUCACCUCCUUACCUGAAAGAA